This 283-nucleotide long non-coding RNA is filed under the name Monodelphis domestica (gray short-tailed opossum). Its description in RNAcentral is "lncRNA (ENSMODG00000047933.1)". The record is from RNAcentral. Lineage: Eukaryota; Metazoa; Chordata; Mammalia; Didelphimorphia; Didelphidae.
CUGCCAGGGACAUAUUGAACAUUCUGGGUCUUUCUUCUUGAGAUCUCUUGAUUUGGAUACCCUCCUAUCAAUGCAGAUUAGGCAUUGUUUUUCAAUUUUCCAAUUUCAUAGGGUUGCAUGGGGCACCAAAAGGUUAAAUAAUUUGUCCAGGGUCACAGUCAAACCUCAACAUACCAAGCUCAACAAUUGAGAGAAAACAAACUGGUCUCACCACCUGCUUUUUCUUCACAGUCUCACAUGCUAUUGAAUACUACUGGAAUAAAUUAUUGCUGGAUCCACUUCA